Y RNA from Callithrix jacchus (white-tufted-ear marmoset), 87 nucleotides. It matches the Rfam family "Y RNA". From Rfam's summary of the family: Y RNAs are components of the Ro ribonucleoprotein particle (Ro RNP), in association with Ro60 and La proteins. The Y RNAs and Ro60 and La proteins are well conserved, but the function of the Ro RNP is not known. In humans the RNA component can be one of four small RNAs -- hY1, hY3, hY4 and hY5. The record is from Ensembl. Lineage: Eukaryota; Metazoa; Chordata; Mammalia; Primates; Cebidae.
GGCUGGUCCGAGUGCAGUGGUGUUUACACCAGUUACAGAUUUCUUUGUUCCUUCUCCACUCCCACUGCUUCACUUGACUAGCCUUUA